RNAcentral lists this ribosomal RNA (280 nucleotides) under uncultured soil bacterium. Its description in RNAcentral is "partial 16S ribosomal RNA". It matches the Rfam family "Bacterial small subunit ribosomal RNA", at positions 26 to 303 of the family's 1533-position model. The record is from RNAcentral.
AGAUUGAACGCUGGCGGCAGGCCUAACACAUGCAAGUCGAGCGGCAGCACGGGUACUUGUACCUGGUGGCGAGCGGCGGACGGGUGAGUAAUGCCUAGGAAUCUGCCUGGUAGUGGGGGAUAACGCUCGGAAACGGACGCUAAUACCGCAUACGUCCUACGGGAGAAAGCAGGGGACCUUCGGGCCUUGCGCUAUCAGAUGAGCCUAGGUCGGAUUAGCUAGUUGGUGAGGUAAUGGCUCACCAAGGCGACGAUCCGUAACUGGUACUGAGGAGGUAUGA